This 88-nucleotide transfer RNA is filed under the name Candidatus Kaiserbacteria bacterium. RNAcentral describes it as "tRNA-Ser". It matches the Rfam family "tRNA". Rfam says of the family: Transfer RNA (tRNA) molecules are approximately 80 nucleotides in length. Their secondary structure includes four short double-helical elements and three loops (D, anti-codon, and T loops). Further hydrogen bonds mediate the characteristic L-shaped molecular structure. tRNAs have two regions of fundamental functional importance: the anti-codon, which is responsible for specific mRNA codon recognition, and the 3' end, to which the tRNAs corresponding amino acid is attached (by aminoacyl-tRNA synthetases). tRNAs cope with the degeneracy of the genetic code in two manners: having more than one tRNA (with a specific anti-codon) for a particular amino acid; and 'wobble' base-pairing, i.e. permitting non-standard base-pairing at the 3rd anti-codon position. The record is from RNAcentral. Lineage: Bacteria; Candidatus Kaiseribacteriota.
GGAGAGAUGGCUGAGUUGGUUUAAGGCGCUGGUCUUGAAAACCAGAGACUCUUAACGGGGUCCGAGGGUUCGAAUCCCUCUCUCUCCG